AAGCUCGUAGUUGAAUUUCGGGGUUCUACCGUUGGUCGGGCUAACCGGUCUGUACUAGCGUGUAGAAUUCUUACCUUCUGGGGAACCAUCAUGUUAUUAAUUUAGCGUGGUAGGAAACCAGGACCUUUACCUUGAAAAAAUUAGAGUGUUCAAAGCAGGCUUACGUCUGAAUACAUUAGCAUGGAAUAAUAAAAUAGGACGGUGGUCCUGUUUUGUUGGUUUCUGAAUCACCGUAAUGAUUAAUAGGGAUAGUUGGG
This 257-nucleotide ribosomal RNA is filed under the name uncultured Scutellospora. Its description in RNAcentral is "partial 18S ribosomal RNA". It matches the Rfam family "Eukaryotic small subunit ribosomal RNA", at positions 624 to 886 of the family's 1831-position model. The record is from RNAcentral. Lineage: Eukaryota; Fungi; Glomeromycota; Glomeromycetes; Diversisporales; Gigasporaceae.